UCAAGGAUGAGCUCGCGGCCUAUCAGCUUGUUGGUGAGGUAACGGCUCACCAAGGCGUCGACGGGUAGCCGGCCUGAGAGGGUGACCGGCCACACUGGGACUGAGACACGGCCCAGACUCCUACGGGAGGCAGCAGUGGGGAAUAUUGCACAAUGGGCGCAAGCCUGAUGCAGCAACGCCGCGUGAGGGACGACGGCCUUCGGGUUGUAAACCUCUUUUAGCAGGGAAGAAGCGAAAGUGACGGUACCUGCAGAAAAAGCACCGGCUAACUACGUGCCAGCAGCCGCGGUAAUACGUAGGGUGCAAGCGUUAUCCGGAAUUAUUGGGCGUAAAGAGCUCGUAGGCGGUUUGUCGCGUCUGCUGUGAAAACUGGAGGCUCAACCUCCAGCCUGCAGUGGGUACGGGCAGACUAGAGUGCGGUAGGGGAGAUUGGAAUUCCUGGUGUAGCGGUGGAAUGCGCAGAUAUCAGGAGGAACACCGAUGGCGAAGGCAGAUCUCUGGGCCGUAACUGACGCUGAGGAGCGAAAGGGUGGGGAGCAAACAGGCUUAGAUACCCUGGUAGUCCACCCCGUAAACGUUGGGAACUAGUUGUGGGGUCCAUUCCACGGAUUCCGUGACGCAGCUAACGCAUUAAGUUCCCCGCCUGGGGAGUACGGCCGCAAGGCUAAAACUCAAAGGAAUUGACGGGGACCCGCACAAGCGGCGGAGCAUGCGGAUUAAUUCGAUGCAACGCGAAGAACCUUACCAAGGCUUGACAUAUACGAGAACGGCCAGAAAUGGUCAACUCUUUGGACACUCGUAAACAGG
RNAcentral lists this ribosomal RNA (807 nucleotides) under Microbacterium sp. RNAcentral describes it as "bacterial SSU rRNA". It matches the Rfam family "Bacterial small subunit ribosomal RNA", at positions 219 to 1038 of the family's 1533-position model. The record is from RNAcentral. Lineage: Bacteria; Bacillati; Actinomycetota; Actinomycetes; Micrococcales; Microbacteriaceae.